AGCCGAAACCGCCGGGAAUGGCGGUCUUGCGGGGAUGGCCGCCUGUGACCGAUGAUGGCAGGCCGAA
This 67-nucleotide non-coding RNA is filed under the name Gemmiger formicilis. Lineage: Bacteria; Bacillati; Bacillota; Clostridia; Eubacteriales; Oscillospiraceae. RNAcentral also lists the same sequence under 4 other names. The record is from RNAcentral.